RNAcentral lists this ribosomal RNA (403 nucleotides) under uncultured bacterium. RNAcentral describes it as "bacterial SSU rRNA". It matches the Rfam family "Bacterial small subunit ribosomal RNA", at positions 355 to 774 of the family's 1533-position model. The record is from RNAcentral.
UGAGGGAUAUUGCGCAAUGGGGGAAACCCUGACGCAGCGACGCCGCGUGGGUGAUGAAGGCCUUCGGGUCGUAAAACCCUUUUGCCACUGACGAGGAAGGACGGUAGGUGGCGAAUAAGCCUCGGCUAACUACGUGCCAGCAGCCGCGGUAAAACGUAGGAGGCAAGCGUUAUCCGGAGUUACUGGGCGUAAAGCGCGCGCAGGCGGUUUUGUAAGACAGAUGUGAAAUCCCCGGGCUUAACCUGGGAACUGCGUUUGUGACUGCAAGGCUGGAGUACGGCAGAGGGGGGUGGAAUUCCACGUGUAGCAGUGAAAUGCGUAGAGAUGUGGAGGAACACCGAUGGCGAAGGCAGCCCCCUGGGCCUGUACUGACGCUCAUGCACGAAAGCGUGGGGAGCAAACA